Molecule: transfer RNA, 74 nt
Filed under: Flavobacterium chilense
Lineage: Bacteria; Pseudomonadati; Bacteroidota; Flavobacteriia; Flavobacteriales; Flavobacteriaceae
Description: tRNA_Ala_GGC
Rfam family: tRNA
About the family: Transfer RNA (tRNA) molecules are approximately 80 nucleotides in length.
Source: RNAcentral
GGGGGAUUAGCUCAUUUGGCUAGAGUACUUGCCUGGCAGGCAAGGGGUGACGAGUUCGAAUCUCGUAUUCUCCA